This 18-nucleotide ribosomal RNA is filed under the name Meloidogyne hapla. The record is from RNAcentral. Lineage: Eukaryota; Metazoa; Nematoda; Chromadorea; Rhabditida; Meloidogynidae.
CCGGGAAGGUUGGAAUCC